This 468-nucleotide ribosomal RNA is filed under the name uncultured bacterium. RNAcentral describes it as "partial 16S ribosomal RNA". It matches the Rfam family "Bacterial small subunit ribosomal RNA", at positions 28 to 507 of the family's 1533-position model. The record is from RNAcentral.
GACGAACGCUGGCGGCGUGCUUAACACAUGCAAGUCGAACGGAAAGGCCCUGCUUUUGUGGGGUGCUCGAGUGGCGAACGGGUGAGUAACACGUGAGUAACCUGCCCUUGACUUUGGGAUAACUUCAGGAAACUGGGGCUAAUACCGGAUAGGAGCUCCUGCUGCAUGGUGGGGGUUGGAAAGUUUCGGCGGUUGGGGAUGGACCCGCGGCUUAUCAGCUUGUUGGUGGGGUAGUGGCUUACCAAGGCUUUGACGGGUAGCCGGCCUGCGAGGGUGACCGGCCACAUUGGGACUGAGAUACGGCCCAGACUCCUACGGGAGGCAGCAGUGGGGAAUAUUGCACAAUGGGCGGAAGCCUGAUGCAGCAACGCCGCGUGCGGGAUGACGGCCUUCGGGUUGUAAACCGCUUUCGCCUGUGACGAAGCGUGAGUGACGGUAAUGGGUGAAGAAGCACCGGCUAACUACGUG